Long non-coding RNA from Gadus macrocephalus (Pacific cod), 602 nucleotides. RefSeq lists it as uncharacterized. The transcript is spliced from 2 exons. The record is from RefSeq and is a predicted model, not a curated record. Lineage: Eukaryota; Metazoa; Chordata; Actinopteri; Gadiformes; Gadidae.
AUUUUUUUUUUCAUAUAAUGGUCUGACCGGCUGGCCCACGAAAGUAGUUCAUCAGCGGCCCUAUUGACACUGGGCUGGCCCAAUCACAUCCCCUGGGCUGACCCAACACCAACCCCUUUCGAUUUGGACCUGCCUACAUAAUGCAUUAGGACGGUAAACAAACUCAGCGUGGCCCAUGGCCUUGACAUUCUUGACACGCGCACGCUAGUCUGCGGCCCAUUGGCUGUCUUCUGUACUGACUAUGGGCUCUUCCAAUCAUAUCACAAAACACCUUCUACCUUUAGCUUGGUCGGUGCACAGAAACGCACGUUUCGUGAGAAUCCUCCAGUCCAAAAUGGAGAGAAAGAGAAAAGGGGGUGCAGAGAAACUGCGAGACAAGAAGAGGCUUGCUCUUCAAGCCAAUGCUGCCAAAUGUGGCAAAAUAUCAGAAAUGUUUGCCACGGCAGGGCCAUCCUCAGCUCCCGUGGAUGACAGUGAUGCUGGUGGCGAUACGAUACAACGACCUACGGUACACACCCAGUCGGAUGAACUCUACCCAUUACUGUGAUGGACGUGGAGUAUACUUUUUUUGUUAAUAAAUAACACCUUUUGGAAGUGUAUAA